RNAcentral lists this ribosomal RNA (833 nucleotides) under Lactococcus lactis subsp. lactis. RNAcentral's name for it is "partial 16S ribosomal RNA". Lineage: Bacteria; Bacillati; Bacillota; Bacilli; Lactobacillales; Streptococcaceae. The record is from RNAcentral.
CGUCUUCACCCCAGUCAUCGGUCUUACCUUAGGAAGCGCCCUCCUUGCGGUUAGGCAACCUACUUCGGGUACUCCCAACUCCCGUGGUGUGACGGGCGGUGUGUACAAGGCCCGGGAACGUAUUCACCGCGGCGUGCUGAUCCGCGAUUACUAGCGAUUCCGACUUCAUGUAGGCGAGUUGCAGCCUACAAUCCGAACUGAGAAUGGUUUUAAGAGAUUAGCUAAACAUCACUGUCUCGCGACUCGUUGUACCAUCCAUUGUAGCACGUGUGUAGCCCAGGUCAUAAGGGGCAUGAUGAUUUGACGUCAUCCCCACCUUCCUCCGGUUUAUCACCGGCAGUCUCGUUAGAGUGCCCAACUUAAUGAUGGCAACUAACAAUAGGGGUUGCGCUCGUUGCGGGACUUAACCCAACAUCUCACGACACGAGCUGACGACAACCAUGCACCACCUGUAUCCCGUGUCCCGAAGGAACUUCCUAUCUCUACGAAUGGCACCAGUAUGUCAAGACCUGGUAAGGAUCUUCUCGUUGCUUCUAAAAAAAAACACAUGCUCCACCGCUUGUGUGUGGGGCCCCCUCGAUUCCUCUGAUGUUCUACCUCGCAGGCGGUACGCCCUCCCGCGGGAGGGAGUGUUUAUUGAGUUGCUGCGAUACAGAGAAUUUAUAGCUACAUAUAGCAAGCACUCAUCGUUUAGAGCGUGAACUAGCAGGGUAUCUAAUCUUGUUUGCUCACACGCUUUCGAGCCUCAGUGUCAGUUACACGCGAUAGAGCCGCUUUCCACCACCAGGUGUUCCUACAUAUAUGCACUCAUUUCUCCGCUACACAUGAAAUUC